CAGCAAUCCCGUCCCUCUGCCUGUGAUCUAAUUAAGCUAGCUAAAGGAAUAAGCUAAUUAUCCACAGGCAGAAAAUAUUAAUUUUUUACCCAAAGCACAGAAAACACCCCAAAACACCACAUAUCCCCACAUCAGAGCAGGGGUUCAAAAGUUUUAUGGAAGUCUCUUUUGACCGACCGCAAGCAUGGCUUUCAUGCCCAAAAUAGUUCCACAGAUUUAGGCUGUGCAGCCGGUCUAAGUCCAAUGUUAAAAAUGCCCUAUAGUACAAGGAAG
Non-coding RNA from Pelobates cultripes (western spadefoot toad), 273 nucleotides. The record is from the annotation of a GenBank genome assembly. Lineage: Eukaryota; Metazoa; Chordata; Amphibia; Anura; Pelobatidae.